Molecule: transfer RNA, 72 nt
Filed under: Treponema sp.
Lineage: Bacteria; Pseudomonadati; Spirochaetota; Spirochaetia; Treponematales; Treponemataceae
Description: tRNA-His
Rfam family: tRNA
About the family: Transfer RNA (tRNA) molecules are approximately 80 nucleotides in length. Their secondary structure includes four short double-helical elements and three loops (D, anti-codon, and T loops). Further hydrogen bonds mediate the characteristic L-shaped molecular structure. tRNAs have two regions of fundamental functional importance: the anti-codon, which is responsible for specific mRNA codon recognition, and the 3' end, to which the tRNAs corresponding amino acid is attached (by aminoacyl-tRNA synthetases). tRNAs cope with the degeneracy of the genetic code in two manners: having more than one tRNA (with a specific anti-codon) for a particular amino acid; and 'wobble' base-pairing, i.e. permitting non-standard base-pairing at the 3rd anti-codon position.
Source: RNAcentral
GUGGAUGUAGCUCAGGGGUAGAGUCCAAGAUUGUGGAUCUUGUCGUCGCGGGUUCGAAACCCGUCAUCCACC